Molecule: ribosomal RNA, 484 nt
Filed under: uncultured bacterium
Lineage: Bacteria
Description: bacterial SSU rRNA
Rfam family: Bacterial small subunit ribosomal RNA
Source: RNAcentral
AAAGGAAUAGACGGGGGCCCGCACAAGCAGCGGAGCGUGUGGUUUAAUUCGACGCAACGCGCAACACCUUACCAGGGCUUGACGUCCACCGAACCGGUGUGAAAGCACCGGGUGCCUUCGGGAGCGGUGAGACAGGUGCUGCAUGGCUGUCGUCAGCUCGUGUCGUGAGAUGUUGGGUUAAGUCCCGCAACGAGCGCAACCCUCGUCGCUAGUUACCGUGGUGUGUCUAGCGAGACUGCCGGACCAAACCGGAGGAAGGUGGGGAUGAUGUCAAGUCAGCAUGGCCCUGACGCCCUGGGCGACACACACGCUACAAUGGCCGGGACAGUGGGCUGCCAAGCGGUAACGCGGAGCCAAUCCCCCAAACCCGGUCUCAGUUCAGAUUGAGGGCUGCAACUCGCCCUCAUGAAGGCGGAGUUGCUAGUAACCGCGGAUCAGCACUGCCGCGGUGAAUAUGUUCCCGGGCCUUGUACACACCGCCCGU